AGAGUUUGAUCAUGGCUCAGGACGAACGCUGGCGGCGUGCCUAAUACAUGCAAGUGGAACGCACUUAUAUCACCGGAGCUUGCUCCGCCGAGAUAAGUGAGUCGCGAACGGGUGAGUAACGCGUAGGUAACCUGCCUCAUAGCGGGGGAUAACUAUUGGAAACGAUAGCUAAUACCGCAUAACAACAUUUAUCGCAUGGUAGAUGUUUGAAAGGAGCAAUUGCUUCACUAUGAGAUGGACCUGCGUUGUAUUAGCUAGUUGGUGGGGUAACGGCUCACCAAGGCAUCGAUACAUAGCCGACCUGAGAGGGUGAUCGGCCCACACUGGGACUGAGACACGGCCCAGACUCCUACGGGAGGCAGCAGUAGGGAAUCUUCGGCAAUGGGGGCAACCCUGACCGAGCAACGCCGCGUGAGUGAAGAAGGUUUUCGGAUCGUAAAGCUCUGUUGUAAGAGAAGAACUGUGAGAAGAGUGGAAAGUUUCUCACUUGACGGUAUCUUACCAGAAAGGGACGGCUAACUACGUGCCAGCAGCCGCGGUAAUACGUAGGUCCCAAGCGUUGUCCGGAUUUAUUGGGCGUAAAGCGAGCGCAGGCGGUUUGAUAAGUCUGAAGUAAAAGGCUGUGGCUUAACCAUAGUACGCUUUGGAAACUGUCAAACUUGAGUGCAGAAGGGGAGAGUGGAAUUCCAUGUGUAGCGGUGAAAUGCGUAGAUAUAUGGAGGAACACCGGUGGCGAAAGCGGCUCUCUGGUCUGUAACUGACGCUGAGGCUCGAAAGCGUGGGGAGCGAACAGGAUUAGAUACCCUGGUAGUCCACGCCGUAAACGAUGAGUGCUAGGUGUUGGGUCCUUUCCGGGACUCAGUGCCGCAGCU
RNAcentral lists this ribosomal RNA (872 nucleotides) under uncultured bacterium. RNAcentral's name for it is "bacterial SSU rRNA". It matches the Rfam family "Bacterial small subunit ribosomal RNA", at positions 8 to 853 of the family's 1533-position model. The record is from RNAcentral.